Pleurotus ostreatoroseus is the source of this 98-nucleotide non-coding RNA. Lineage: Eukaryota; Fungi; Basidiomycota; Agaricomycetes; Agaricales; Pleurotaceae. The record is from the annotation of a GenBank genome assembly.
GGCUCAGUGGUCUAGUAGUAUGAUUCUCGCUUCGGGUUUUCCCGCCAAUUAUUUGGUACAAUUGCGAGAGGUCCCGGGUUCAAUUCCCGGCUGAGCCC